AUUUCAAAGCUUGCUUUUGAAUUGACGAGCGGCGGACGGGUGAGUAAUGCCUGGGAAUUUGCCCAUUUGUGGGGGAUAACAGUUGGAAACGACUGCUAAUACCGCAUACGCCCUACGGGGGAAAGCAGGGGACCUUCGGGCCUUGCGCUGAUGGAUAACCCCAGGUGGGAUUAGCUAGUAUGUGAGGUAAAGGCUCACCUAGGCGACGAUCCCUAGCUGGUCUGAGAGGAUGAUCACCCACACUGGGACUGACACACGGCCCAGACUCCUACGGGAGGCAGCAGUGGGGAAUAUUGCACAAUGGGGGAAACCCUGAUGCAACCAUGCCGCGUGUGUGAAGAAGGCCUUCGGGUUGUAAAGCACUUUCAGCGAGGAGGAAAGGGUGUAAGUUAAUACCUUACAUCUGUGACGUUACUCGCAGAAGAAGCACCGGCUAACUCCGUG
RNAcentral lists this ribosomal RNA (444 nucleotides) under bacterium 1911-S1-01-3. RNAcentral describes it as "bacterial SSU rRNA". It matches the Rfam family "Bacterial small subunit ribosomal RNA", at positions 70 to 507 of the family's 1533-position model. The record is from RNAcentral.